GCACGCCGCGUGAGUGAUGAAGGUUUUCCGGAUCGUAAAACUCUGUUGUUAGGGAAGAACAAGUACCGUUCGAAUAGGGCGGUACCUUGACGGUACCUAACCAGAAAGCCACGGCUAACUACGUGCCAGCAGCCGCGGUAAUACGUAGGUGGCAAGCGUUGUCCGGAAUUAUUGGGCGUAAAGCGCGCGCAGGCGGUUUCUUAAGUCUGAUGUGAAAGCCCCCGGCUCAACCGGGGAGGGUCAUUGGAAACUGGGGAACUUGAGUGCAGAAGAGGAGAGUGGAAUUCCACGUGUAGCGGUGAAAUGCGUAGAGAUGUGGAGGAACACCAGUGGCGAAGGCGACUCUCUGGUCUGUAACUGACGCUGAGGCGCGAAAGCGUGGGGAGCGAACAGGAUUAGAUACCCUGGUAGUCCACGCCGUAAACGAUGAGUGCUAAGUGUUAGAGGGUUUCCGCCCUUUAGUGCUGCAGCAAACGCAUUAAGCACUG
Molecule: ribosomal RNA, 488 nt
Filed under: Bacillus licheniformis
Lineage: Bacteria; Bacillati; Bacillota; Bacilli; Caryophanales; Bacillaceae
Description: bacterial SSU rRNA
Rfam family: Bacterial small subunit ribosomal RNA
Source: RNAcentral